GCUUGCUUUGGCAGUGCAUAUGCUAAAACUGGAACGAUAAAGAUAAUAUUAGAAUGACCCCUGCACAAGAAUGACGUGCAAAAUCGUGAAGUGUUCCAUAUUUUU
Small nuclear RNA from Monodelphis domestica (gray short-tailed opossum), 105 nucleotides. Lineage: Eukaryota; Metazoa; Chordata; Mammalia; Didelphimorphia; Didelphidae. The record is from Ensembl.